CGGAGCGGGUGGGUCGAGGCCUCGGCCCGGUGCGACCCUGGCGUACUUCCCCAACGCCAGGUGCGAGAUCGGGCCGAGACCCCGCCUCAUCCGGGAACCGCA
This is a regulatory RNA element of Gordonia rhizosphera NBRC 16068, 102 nucleotides long. It matches the Rfam family "mraW RNA". Lineage: Bacteria; Bacillati; Actinomycetota; Actinomycetes; Mycobacteriales; Gordoniaceae. The record is from Rfam.